GACGAACGCUGGCGGCGUGCUUAACACAUGCAAGUCGAACGGAAAGGCCCUGCUUGCGGGGUGCUCUCGUGUCGAACGGGUGAGUGAAACAUGGGUGAACUGCCCUGCACUUCGGGGUAUGCCUGGGAGACAGGGUCUAAUACAGGGGAGGAGCGCUCUUUCGUGUGGGGGGUGGAAAGUUUUUUUCGUGUGGGGUGAGCUCGCGGGCUAUCAGCUUGGUGGUGGGGUGAUGGCCUACCAAGGCGGGGACGGGUGGGCGGCCUGAGAGGGUGGACGGCCACAUUUGGACUGGGGUACGGCCCAGGCUUCCACGGGAGGCAGCAGGGGGGAAUAUUGCACAAUGGGGGGGAGGCUGAUGCAGCGAAGCCGCGUGGCGGAUUACCGCCUUCGGGGUGUAAACUCGUUUCGGUAGGGACGAAGCCUUGUGUGACGGUACCUAGAUAAGAAGCACCGGCUAACUACGUG
Molecule: ribosomal RNA, 465 nt
Filed under: uncultured bacterium
Lineage: Bacteria
Description: partial 16S ribosomal RNA
Rfam family: Bacterial small subunit ribosomal RNA
Source: RNAcentral